UACGUAGGGGGCAAGCGUUGUCCGGAUUUAUUGGGCGUAAAGAGCGUGUAGGCGGCUGGGUAGGUCCGUUGUGAAAACUCGAGGCUCAACCUCGAGACGCCGAUGGAAACCCCCUGGCUAGAGUCCGGAAGAGGAGAGUGGAAUUCCUGGUGUAGCGGUGAAAUGCGCAGAUAUCAGGAAGAACACCCGUGGCGAAGGCGGCUCUCUGGGACGGUACUGACGCUGAGACGCGAAAGCGUGGGGAGCGAACAGG
RNAcentral lists this ribosomal RNA (253 nucleotides) under uncultured bacterium. Its description in RNAcentral is "partial 16S ribosomal RNA". It matches the Rfam family "Bacterial small subunit ribosomal RNA", at positions 524 to 776 of the family's 1533-position model. The record is from RNAcentral.